Molecule: non-coding RNA, 34 nt
Filed under: unclassified sequences
Source: RNAcentral
CUUUGGAUACGACGGAGAUCCAAGGCGGAAGGAG